Molecule: long non-coding RNA, 315 nt
Organism: Sceloporus undulatus (fence lizard)
Lineage: Eukaryota; Metazoa; Chordata; Lepidosauria; Squamata; Phrynosomatidae
Exons: 3
Source: RefSeq, a predicted model, not a curated record
CGCUAAUGCUACUGAAGCAAAACACCAUCAUCGUUGUGCAGCAACAUCUGGCUCUUAUAUUAAGUUGAGCGACUAAGAAAACAAUGAACAAUUGGAUUGUGAGAAAACGUUGGUGCUCCCACUGUGUAUGCUCCAUACAGCUGCAUAUGUGCAUGCUUUUACCAGGAACAGUAAGCAGACAUCAACAGAUGAAUCAUUAGAAUGAGGGAAGCAAAGACCACUGCAGGAACAGAAUGCUCAGCUAGAGAGGCCUUUGGUGUAUCCAGUACAAAGCCAGCACUGAAGCUAUUUAUAUCCUUGAUGCAUAGUCCUGCC